RNAcentral lists this ribosomal RNA (381 nucleotides) under uncultured cyanobacterium. RNAcentral's name for it is "bacterial SSU rRNA". It matches the Rfam family "Bacterial small subunit ribosomal RNA", at positions 376 to 770 of the family's 1533-position model. The record is from RNAcentral. Lineage: Bacteria; Bacillati; Cyanobacteriota.
CGCAAGCCUGACGGAGCAAGACCGCGUGAGGGAGGAAGGCCCAAGCGGUUGUAAACCUCUUUUCUCAGGGAAGAAGAAAGUGACGGUACCUGAGGAAUCAGCCUCGGCUAACUCCGUGCCAGCAGCCGCGGUAAUACGGAGGAGGCAAGCGUUAUCCGGAAUUAUUGGGCGUAAAGCGUCCGUAGGUGGUUAUGUAAGUCUGCUGUCAAAGCACAGGGCUUAACCCUGUAAAGGCAGUGGAAACUACAAGACUCGAGUGCGGUAGGGGCAGAGGGAAUUCCCAGUGUAGCGGUGAAAUGCGUAGAGAUUGGGAAGAACACCUGUGGCGAAAGCGCUCUGCUGGACCGCAACUGACACUCAGGGACGAAAGCUAGGGGAGCG